UGGGGAAUAUUGGACAAUGGGGGGAACCCUGAUCCAGCCAUGCCGCGUGUGUGAAGAAGGCCUUAUGGUUGUAAAGCACUUUAAGCAGUGAAGAAUACAUCAUGGCUAAUAUCCGUGAUGAAUGACAUUAGCUGCAGAAUAAGCACCGGCUAACUCUGUGCCAGCAGCCGCGGUAAUACAGAGGGUGCGAGCGUUAAUCGGAAUUACUGGGCGUAAAGCGAGCGUAGGUGGUUUAUUAAGUCAGAUGUGAAAUCCCUGGGCUUAACCUAGGAACUGCAUCUGAUACUGACAAACUAGAGUAGGUGAGAGGAAAGUAGAAUUCCAGGUGUAGCGGUGAAAUGCGUAGAGAUCUGGAGGAAUACCGAUGGCGAAGGCAGCUUUCUGGCAUCAUACUGACACUGAGGUUCGAAAGCGUGGGUAGCAAACGGGAUUAGAUACCCUGGUAGUCCACGCCGUAAACGAUGUCUACCAGUCGUUGGGUCUUUUAAAGACUUAGUGACGCAGUUAACGCGAUAAGUAGACCGCCUGGGGAGUACGGCCGCAAGGUUA
Molecule: ribosomal RNA, 549 nt
Filed under: uncultured bacterium
Lineage: Bacteria
Description: bacterial SSU rRNA
Rfam family: Bacterial small subunit ribosomal RNA
Source: RNAcentral